CGAAGAUGGCAGAGUGAGGCAUGCCGCCGUAAACCAGCCUCUGGGCUGUAGGCAGGCCAGUCCCCCGGGAGGCCUCAUGCAUGUGUUGGACCAUGCCCGGAGAAGAAAAAAAGAGAUCGGCCAGGGGAAAGGAAUUAAAGCAACAUUCUUUCUCCCUCCCUUUCAGAGGGGAGUGGUCAUCUACACUUAUAAAGCAAAGGUCUUAAGUUCCUUAUCAUAGGAAGAACAUUUUCUUUGACCUUUAGGUGCUUUUAUAUUCAUCUCAAAAACAAAAUUCUGAUCUCAGGACUUGGCGAACCACUGCCAAGAAAGAAAUUCUGAUCUCAGGACUUGGCAAACCACUGCUGAAACUUCACUUCUACACAGACAGGCUUUCCUUCCCAUAACUCCAGACCAGCUGAGCAAUUAUAAGGUGUUUGCAAAGAAGACAGCUCUAUGGCAAAAUGACGAUGUUCAUUCCCAGCACAAAGGAGAGUACAGGAAUGCAGCAGAGACAGGUUUUCGAUAUGUUACCCAGGCUCGUCUUGAACUUCUGGGCUCAAGUGAUCCUCUUGCCUCAGCCUCCCAAAGUGCUGAGAUUACAGGUAUGAGCCACCGUGCCCAGAUGAUAAUCAUUAUUUUAAGAUUUUUUCUACUCAUAUUUUUAAGAUUUUUUCUAGUUUGGAAAGCUGUUUUUUAAAAUAAACUUGUGUGUUAUAGAUAGAGCUUCUUGGUAAAGUAAUCAUCUGACUAUAAAGUGAUAAGUUCAAGGUUAAUUAUACAAUUACUGCCUCAUUCAUGUCAAAAAAAAGUUAGAAAGGGUGUGAUAUCCUGACAUUAAAAGUUGAUUUAUUUCCUCCUGUGCUUUGCUCUCCACGUAAUGUUGGGAAUUAUGACUGCAGUUAUUGAAAAUAUGCCAGAUACUGUCACACACAACUCGGAGGGCAU
This 927-nucleotide long non-coding RNA is filed under the name Homo sapiens (human). RNAcentral describes it as "HSALNT0139318". Lineage: Eukaryota; Metazoa; Chordata; Mammalia; Primates; Hominidae. The record is from RNAcentral.